Molecule: unclassified non-coding RNA, 218 nt
Filed under: uncultured Tomentella
Lineage: Eukaryota; Fungi; Basidiomycota; Agaricomycetes; Thelephorales; Thelephoraceae
Description: sequence contains ITS2
Source: RNAcentral
ACACCUCAACUCUCAUGGUUUGCCAUGAUGAGCUUGGACUUUGGGGGUCUUGCUGGCCUAUGGGUCGGCUCCUCUCAAAUGAAUCAGCUUGCCAGUGUUUGGUGGCAUCACAGGUGUGAUAACUAUCUACGCUUGUGGUUUUCCGCCAGGUAACCUCCAGCAAUGGGGGUUCGCUGGGGCUCAUAAAUGUCUCUCCUCAGUGAGGACAGCUUUUUAAC